Haplochromis burtoni (Burton's mouthbrooder) is the source of this 1487-nucleotide long non-coding RNA. RefSeq lists it as uncharacterized. The transcript has 3 exons. The record is from RefSeq and is a predicted model, not a curated record. Lineage: Eukaryota; Metazoa; Chordata; Actinopteri; Cichliformes; Cichlidae.
AAACAGUUAUGCUGAUUAAAGGAGCAAUAAAUGUGGCUAGUUAAGUGUCUGGAGCCUCAGCCUUUGUUGCUCGAUUACAGUCUUAGAAUAGCCACACAAAAAAGGAAAAAGGAAAUUUCUAAAGAAUGGAGGAUAUCAUAUAACACUGUGCACUAAGGCCUGGUGCACAACUGAGCACAAGGUCAGGAACAUUAGUUAGUUUGAGACCGAUGUCUCACAGGUCUUACCUGAAAAACACGAGUUAUGAGUGAAAAGGAAAUCCAUGAAUCCUUUCUUUUGAGGAAAAGUUGCAAAGGACAAGAAGAGAGACUUUUGCCAGACUAAGAUGUGGCUUUUUCUUUUUAGUGGAGUCACCUCUUCACAGGGCAGCUUUGCACAGCGCCAGUUUUUUAACGCGUGGCAGCAACUGUAGGCAGCGUAUGUGCCGAGGCUGUAAUUCGUCUGUAAGUGAUGGAGGCAGCAUACACCCACAAGUGUUCUAGUCUAACCUGACAUGCUGAAGGAGGAGGAUGCCCACAAGCACAGAAAUGAAUGAGGUCCAGAAUUUUUUCUCUUUACAACAUGUGUGCUUCAGUGACCAGCAGAAAAGGCCAGACUUCUGAAGAGAUUCGGUACAAAGAAAUUCACACCAGAAAUUCUGAAAACUGUAAAGUACUUUAUUUUGUAUAGCUUCCCUCUUUUUCACAGAAGCUACUUUGUAUAUAUAUAUAAAUGUGGAAGUUGACUCUUGUCUGGCUGUAAAAAAAAAAAUAAAAUAAAACACAAAAGAAUUAUUCCCUCCCUUGAAAUUAAAAUGGCAGAAAGAAAAAAAGUUACUCACUCCUGGCCCUGGCUCCACUGUGCCUCUGACUCACUCCUGGUGUCUAAACCAACCAAUUAUCAUUCCUCAUGAGUCCUGUGUUAACCUAACCUCCUAAACACAAGCCAGUCAGAGUCACUGCAGAAUUCCCAGAAUUCCUGUAGUCUUUUCAAAGUAAAAGCCACAAUGAUCCAGUUUUACUGUCUUGUUCUGAAAACAAAAUGACCAAAGUCCAGACCUCAUAUCUGGAUCCAGCCCUGCCUGCACUGUUGGUUUAAUUUAAACAUAUUCCAUUAUUCUUAUCUCAUCGUGACAUAUCUUAAACUGUUCUUAUCUUUCAUCAAAAACUACGACUAUCAUUGCUGGAUGUCAUCACUUGCUGUAUCAUUUCUUGGCACUUUCCCACAGAUGCUUGAGUCUUGUUUUUGUGUUAGUCUUCAAUCAACUCUGAGUCCAAGCUUAUUUUUUUUCACCGAGAGUCAAUUUUAAUUUAUUUAUUUUUAAACAUUCGUCACUCCCGUGGAAGCACUUUGGAAAGCUGCACCUCUUCUGGCUUCCUCCUCAAACCUCAGACGCUAUUAUUCAAUUUCCUACAGUCAGGCUUUCUCCUUAUUUCUUGCGUAGAGGUGCAGGCUUCUCUCUUACAACAUCAUCACCACUUCCUCUGCUUCACCUAGAUGUAAGUGUG